UACUGUUACUUAAUUGACAUUUUUAACAAGUAAAGAUUUUCCUCUUGUCUCAUUCUGGUAAAAUGUCACCCAUAUCUUAUUUUAUUUUAAUGAAAUUACAGGAUGCACCUGACAAAGUGUUGAAAAGGAAGAUGCCAAACACUGUUCCGUUCCACUUGGAAUCACCCCAUUCGAAGGUGCCAAAACUAAACCAAGAUAGCACUCCUGCUGUCUCGACAUCCUCUCAGGGGAGCAUCCGUAUCAAAGGUGCCAACCAAAAUAGUUUCAGCAGCUUUCCCUCUCAGUUGAGCAAGCCACCAUCAGGAUAUCUACCCUCGACAAGCAUCAGCAAUAAUGUCAAAACAUACACCAAGUCAAAGCUUAUUCUCCCUCUCGACCAAACAAAUCAAAAUGUAUUACCAGUAGCAUCACGCCAACAAAAUCUCCAUCCCCCGCGCCCAUUACUUCCGUACCUAAACCCUUGCCUUUAAAACCAGCUCAAUCCCCUGUAAUCCCAGAGUCAAAGCCUGGUCCAUCGCUGAAGAAAACGAUAAAAGCACCAGCUCCGUCAACACCUGUCAUGAACAGAAUAUUAACACCUAGCAGCAGCUCUGUUCCGGUCGCUUCCUCGACCAAAAUCAUCAUCACAGACAAUGAAGGCAAAGUGCUAGGCACCGUCCCCUCCUCCAGCAUAACUAGUCCUCAAAGUCAGCUGAAUCUUCUUUUCGCAAGUUCUGCGCCUAGCACUGAUGUUCUGUCCAAGAGUACAACCGUGUCGUCGAAUUCCGCAGGGAGUAAUGAUAGCUCGACCAAAGUCAAAAGUGUAGUCAUCCCGAGCAGCAAGUCCGCCACUUGUUACGUCUCUUUGGCAGGACUGAUGUCCUCCCCCGUUCCUGAAAACCAAACUCUAGACGUUGAUCUAAGCGAGGUAGGAGGAGCUUCAUCCGGUGUCUGUGAUACUCAAAAUAUUGGCUCAAAAUCUCAGUUCAAUUUCACUGUUGAACAGGAGCCGAUAGUUGUGAAUGUACCAUCCACGUCCGAUACAUCAUGCAGCAGUUCGUUUAUUCCGAGCUAUUGUUUAUCAACUUCUACAGACGUAAAUGAAGAAGCCACUGAUUUGAAUGAAACGGAUGCUGAAGGGGUCGGCAUAUUGGAUCCAGUCACAGGCGUCUACUCUUUCCCAUUUGAUGAAAAUGAAUCAAAUCAAGAUUCAACCGUUAGUGUAAACUCUCUUCCUAGUUCUCUCGAUCUGACAGAUCAGUUAGACUGUAACUCAAGUACACACAUGUUAGCAGUAUCUCCAGGUUCCGAAUCUGCAAAUGAUUCAUCCUUAUCUCAUAUGGUUGAAGAGACAGUAAUAUCAGAGUGUAAAUUCGACCAGACAGCAUUGGAUGAAAACUGCGAGAACGAAACAGUCAAUGAAUGUGAUAUAAGUAAUAUCUCUGUCACAGAAGUGACUCUGGAAGAAACAUUGGAAUGUUUUGAGGCUGAUGAUACUCAAGGAAUGUAUAGCGAAGAAAUUGUGGAGAAAGACUCGCAGAGCAUGACAGUGUUUUCGAAAACUUGUGAUAUUUUUCCCUAA
This 1561-nucleotide long non-coding RNA is filed under the name Bemisia tabaci. Its description in RNAcentral is "lncRNA ENSSSA2NGG007342". The record is from RNAcentral. Lineage: Eukaryota; Metazoa; Arthropoda; Insecta; Hemiptera; Aleyrodidae.